RNAcentral lists this ribosomal RNA (468 nucleotides) under uncultured bacterium. RNAcentral's name for it is "partial 16S ribosomal RNA". It matches the Rfam family "Bacterial small subunit ribosomal RNA", at positions 28 to 507 of the family's 1533-position model. The record is from RNAcentral.
GACGAACGCUGGCGGCGUGCUUAACACAUGCAAGUCGAACGGAAAGGCCCUGCUUUUGUGGGUUGCUCGAGUGGCGAACGGGUGAGUAACACGGGAGUAACCUGCCCUUGACUUUGGUAUAACUUCAGGAAACUGGGGCUAAUACCGGAUAGGAGCUCCUGCUGCAUGGUGGGGGUUGGAAAGUUUCGGCGGUUGGGGAUGGACUCGCGGCUUAUCAGCUUGUUGGUGGGGUAGUGGCUUACCAAGGCUUUGACGGGUAGCCGGCCUGAGAGGGUGACCGGCCAAAUUGGGACUGAGAUACGGCCCAGACUCCUACGGGAGGCAGCAGUGGGGAAUAUUGCACAAUGGGCGGAAGCCUGAUGCAGCAACGCCGCGUGCGGGAUGACGGCCUUCGGGUUGUAAACCGCUUUCGCCUGUGACGAAGCGUGAGUGACGGUAAUGGGUAAAGAAGCACCGGCUAACUACGUG